This 73-nucleotide transfer RNA is filed under the name Bos taurus (domestic cattle). It matches the Rfam family "tRNA". Rfam says of the family: Transfer RNA (tRNA) molecules are approximately 80 nucleotides in length. Their secondary structure includes four short double-helical elements and three loops (D, anti-codon, and T loops). Further hydrogen bonds mediate the characteristic L-shaped molecular structure. tRNAs have two regions of fundamental functional importance: the anti-codon, which is responsible for specific mRNA codon recognition, and the 3' end, to which the tRNAs corresponding amino acid is attached (by aminoacyl-tRNA synthetases). tRNAs cope with the degeneracy of the genetic code in two manners: having more than one tRNA (with a specific anti-codon) for a particular amino acid; and 'wobble' base-pairing, i.e. permitting non-standard base-pairing at the 3rd anti-codon position. RNAcentral also lists the same sequence under 2 other names. The record is from Rfam by way of RNAcentral. Lineage: Eukaryota; Metazoa; Chordata; Mammalia; Artiodactyla; Bovidae.
UCCCUGGCAGUCCAGUGGUUAAGACACUGUGCUUCCAAUGCAGGGGGUACAGGUUCAAACCCUGGUCAGGGAA